RNAcentral lists this ribosomal RNA (813 nucleotides) under Lama glama (llama). RNAcentral's name for it is "partial 16S ribosomal RNA". The stretch from base 159 to 813 matches the Rfam family "Bacterial large subunit ribosomal RNA", at positions 568 to 1721 of the family's 2925-position model. The record is from RNAcentral. Lineage: Eukaryota; Metazoa; Chordata; Mammalia; Artiodactyla; Camelidae.
UAAAGCUAGCCCAGAAACCACCAUAUUUCAACUAUUUUAAAACUAUUAAACAAAACAUUUAUUCACUCUUUUAAAGUAUAGGAGAUAGAAAUUUAUUUAUUGGCGCUAUAGAGAGAGUACCGUAAGGGAACGAUGAAAGAAUACCUAAAAGUAAUAAAAAGCAAAGAUUAACCCUUGUACCUUUUGCAUAAUGAUUUAACUAGAAAAUUUUAGCAAAGAGAACUUAAGUUAAAUGCCCCGAAACCAGACGAGCUACUUGUGAACAGCCUACGGAGCGAACUCGUCUAUGUGGCAAAAUAGUGAGAAGAUUUGCAAGUAGAGGUGACAAGCCUAACGAGCCUGGUGAUAGCUGGUUGUCCAGGAAAAGAAUGUAAGUUCAACUUUAAAAAUACCUAAAAAACCGCUAAUUUUAAUGUAUUUUUAAAAGCUAGUCUAAAAGGGUACAGCUUUUUAGACCGAGGAUACAACCUUACUUAGAGAGUAAAAACAACCAACACCAUAGUUGGCUUAAAAGCAGCCAUCAAUUAAGAAAGCGUUCAAGCUCAACAUUAAACAAAGUUUUAAUUCCAAUAGUCAACAAGGAACUCCUAACCCAAUACUGGACUAAUCUAUUAAUUAAUAGAAGCAAUAAUGUUAAUAUGAGUAACAAGAAAUAUUUCUCCCUGCAUAAGCUUAUGUCAGCAACGGAUAUUCUACUGACAGUUAACACUUAAUAAAUUUAACCCACCAAUGAACAAUUUAUUAAAUUUACUGUUAACCCAACACAGGCAUGCAUUAAGGAAAGAUUAAAAGAAGCAAAAGGAACUCGGCAAA